RNAcentral lists this ribosomal RNA (588 nucleotides) under Triticum aestivum (bread wheat). RNAcentral describes it as "partial small subunit ribosomal RNA". Lineage: Eukaryota; Viridiplantae; Streptophyta; Magnoliopsida; Poales; Poaceae. The record is from RNAcentral.
AUGACAGUGAUAUGGGUAACGGUACCGUCAGCUGAAGCACAACAAGUUCAAGGGGGAACUGAUGCUAUCAGAUUAGAGUGCCAAUUGGGUGGUCAUGCAGUGGUGCUCCUGGUGGAUUUAGGUAGUUCUCAUUCUUUCAUCAGUGCUUGGUUGGAUGCUCACAUUGUAGGCCAACAAUUACUGCCUUCACAACAAACUGUCAGGAUUGCAGGUGGAGGUACACUUCCUUGUACUCACAUCAUUCCUGCUUGUGCCUGGUCUGCUUCUGGUCAUGAGUUCAAGUGUGACUUUAAGGUAUUACCUCUACAACAUCAUGAUGGAAUUUUGGGAAUGGAUUGGAUGUCCUUCUUGUGUACUACGCAAGUCAACUGGUUAGAGAAGUGGCUAGCCUUUGAUAAUUACGGCCGUCCGGUGUUCUUACAAGGAUGUCCUCCAGAAACUUUUAGUUGGACCGUGGUGGAUCUCCAUUUAGUUCAGCCAGAGAAUGUCAAAGAGGAUGUUGUAGCCCUUCCGACACAAUUCCAGGAACUAUUAGACCACUGCAGUAUUCGCACCACCAGCUGGACUUCCCCCUCUACACAGUUGUGA